UNCAGAGAUGUAUGAAGUUGUGUCUUUAGC
RNAcentral lists this non-coding RNA (30 nucleotides) under Mus musculus (house mouse). Lineage: Eukaryota; Metazoa; Chordata; Mammalia; Rodentia; Muridae. The record is from RNAcentral.